CUUAGGUGCUGCACCCAAAUCCCACAGCUCAAAUUGCCGGAUGAAGAGAGCUCACUAAUGGUUUAAGCACAGGGAUCCUGGAGCCCGGGCCCAUCUGGACGAGGGGGGGGCGGGUCAGUGGGAGCGGCAGAGAAGCAGAUGCACCCUUGUGAAGGCGGCCACCACGGCUCUGCGACGUUGGAAGUCUGUGCCUGGACCUCCACGGGCCCACGGACCACAACUGGGCCUCUCCCCGCCAGUCCCCCUCCGGCCCCCCACGCAUUCAGCAGAGCUCCUUGCAGCCUGUGUGUGUGUGUGUGCACAUGUGCACACGCGUGGGUAAGUGUGCAGUUACAUAAAAGGCUCACACCACAGGCCCGUGUAUCACGCUCUUCUUCCAUGAAACACACUAUCAUCCAAGUCACCAAACAACUGGAAAACACCGACUGCAUCUAACACGUCACAUGGGCUGCCUGCCUGGUCUCUUCCUGCCACUACCACUCAGGAUGCCGUGAACAGCUCCGUGCCCGGCCCACCACGGACCUCCUGUCGUUUCCUUCAGAAGCAGCCCUCGGGCUAUCCCUGGCGCCCCAGGAAGGAUGGAUGUGGCAUCAGAGGACCCGGUGGAACCCCCUCCAGCCUGCACCCGCCUCUCCUUCCACCCGUCCACGCCUCCUCAUGGCUCCCUUGGCUUCGCUGGUGACCCGGAACACGACACAACCUAAAUGUCCAAUUACAUGGGAGGACCCAGCCAGCUACGGACAUGUGGAAACAGGACACCCUCCAGCCACAAGAAAGAGUGAGGCUCCCUACACGUGAGUGUGGAAUAUGGGCUGACAGAUCCACAAUUAUUCAGUGAAAACCACACAGUCCUUCAGCUGGCCUACCAGGACGGCCUUUCGAGGAUGAGGGCAGACCACGGUCUCUCGGAAUGCA
Long non-coding RNA from Capra hircus (goat), 915 nucleotides. RefSeq lists it as uncharacterized. The record is from RefSeq and is a predicted model, not a curated record. The transcript has 3 exons. NCBI's taxonomy places the organism in Eukaryota, Metazoa, Chordata, Mammalia, Artiodactyla, Bovidae.